This 497-nucleotide ribosomal RNA is filed under the name uncultured bacterium. Its description in RNAcentral is "partial 16S ribosomal RNA". It matches the Rfam family "Bacterial small subunit ribosomal RNA", at positions 28 to 507 of the family's 1533-position model. The record is from RNAcentral.
GAUGAACGCUGGCGGCGUGCCUAAUACAUGCAAGUCGAGCGAACAGACGAGGAGCUUGCUCCUCUGACGUUAGCGGCGGACGGGUGAGUAACACGUGGAUAACCUACCUAUAAGACUGGGAUAACUUCGGGAAACCGGAGCUAAUACCGGAUAAUAUAUUGAACCGCAUGGUUCAAUAGUGAAAGACGGUUUUGCUGUCACUUAUAGAUGGAUCCGCGCCGCAUUAGCUAGUUGGUAAGGUAACGGCUUACCAAGGCAACGAUGCGUAGCCGACCUGAGAGGGUGAUCGGCCACACUGGAACUGAGACACGGUCCAGACUCCUACGGGAGGCAGCAGUAGGGAACCUUCCGCAAUGGGCGAAAGCCUGACGGAGCAACGCCGCGUGAGUGAUGAAGGUCUUCGGAUCGUAAAACUCUGUUAUUAGGGAAGAACAAAUGUGUAAGUAACUAUGCACGUCUUGACUGUACCUAAUCAGAAAGCCACGGCUAACUACGUG